AAGAAGCCCCCGGGGAAAGAAACAUGGCGGCCGGCGGCCCGCUCACAGGACGCGGGGCCUGCCCCUCUGCCCGCCCCACCCGGGGCUGCACGACCGCCGAGGAGAAUCUGGGCCAGGCCUGCCCGGUUCUAGGGGGACAGACCUGGUGACUUCUCAGCCCUGGGAUCCCACAUCAGAAGUCUGUUUUCAUCCUGGUCACGCCAGCAAAGGAAAUCCCCGUCGUGAGAUGCGCUGCCUCGAUCCCAGGAACGGCUGUGGCGGAGGGGCCGCUCGCACACGGUGGAUGGCAGUUGAAGCCCGUCUGGCCCGGCCCGUCCGUGGCCGGUGCCGCCCUCAGGACCACGGCACCACCGGCUCCCGAAAACCGUGCCGCGCGUCAAAGCGUAAGUCCAAAGCCUUUUCUCUCGCAGGAACAGUGGCGUGGAUGGGGCAACGGCCCCUGGACCGAGGUGGCGGUUUGACCCCGACGACCGAGAUGCCGGGUUGCGGGGGGGUGGCGCGGUGUUGUGUAGGGCCUAGCGAGCCCCCUGACAGGUGAAAGGCAGCUCCCAGAGAACCUGGAGCAGAACAGCACAGCGGUGACCCACGGCCUUCGCUCUCCCCACCGACGAGCCGGUGCACAGAGAGAAGCUUUAUCCCUUCUCCGCGGUAAGUGGACUCUGCCUGGGGGGCUCCAACUGGGCAAGGUUUGCAGGGAGUUUUGAGUUGAUCGGAGAGGACCGUUGCUGGGGUUCUUGGCUGGAGUCUUCUCAGGAGUCUUGCAUGCUGGUUUUUCUGGAGAUACGUCUGAACUGAGCGGUUUGAGAAGCAGCGUGGCCUUGUGGAUAAAGCCCGGGUCUGGGAGUCAGAAGGACCUGGGUUCUCGUCCCA
Long non-coding RNA from Ornithorhynchus anatinus (platypus), 870 nucleotides. RefSeq lists it as uncharacterized. The transcript is spliced from 3 exons. Lineage: Eukaryota; Metazoa; Chordata; Mammalia; Monotremata; Ornithorhynchidae. The record is from RefSeq and is a predicted model, not a curated record.